GGUCAUGUGACUGUCAGGAGAGGAAACCAGAUGUCAGAGACAGGCAGCGUCACUCGGCGUGGGAGUAAUGAGAAGGCAGCAAGACGUGAAAAGGGAGACGGGAAGAGAAGGAGGCGUUACUAAGUUUAUAUAGGAUUUGUUACACCAAAGACAGUAAGGCCAAGGGUGUCGAUAAAGACAUUUGACAGGAGAGAGGAGGGCAUAGAGCUGUGUUAAACAGUGGCACUAAACAGUACAGUUCUAUAUACUGUGGAAAGAGGAGACAGGUGAAACUGUAGCAGUUUUGGGGUUGAGAGAUAAGGGUAUUUGGGGGGAACAGUGGAACCGGUGGAACAGUAGCAGUGUCAUACAGCCGUAUCCUUUAGGAGCUGUAUCGUCUUGCAUAGCUUGAGGACUACAGAACCAGCAGAGCGAUGAGUAACAUUUUUAUGAUAGAAUUUAUCUCUCUUCUGGCUGUCUCUGCAACCUGGAGCCAGGAUACAGGAGUUAACCACAACAUUUCUGCCAGCUCACACUCUUUCCUAACCUCAAUUGUGACCACAGGCCGUCCACCUAUAAUUGCUGUUACCCGGAGUGUAGUGGCCAGAGAAGGACAGGACCUCAACUUAAUGUGCAGCAACAAAACUUGGAAUGAGAUGAUCUACACCAUUUGGAAAAUAAACAUUGAUGGAUCCGAGUGUCAAGUAUCAUUUGAUAAUCAAAAGGAACUUAACACAUGCAACGAUGGAAAGCAAAUGCACAACUCAACCAGAGGUGAAUCCUACCUGCUUAUUCCUCAGUUCUCAGUCAGGGACCAGGGUGUCUACCACUGUGAGUCAGUCUACAAAGGUGGGAUCAACUCUCAAGACAUUACCGUAACAAUUAUAGCCCCUCCCGAGGUUAAAUUCCAGCUGGAAAUGAUCGAAGGGAGAAGAGUGGCUGUGUGUUUGGUUAAAGGCAAACCAGCUGCCUCCAUUUCAUGGAGAAACACGUGGAACUCUUCAAUCACCCCGCAGAACACCAAUGACUCAAACCAAGUGACCAGUUCUCUACCCUUGCCAGAAGGCGUCAAUACCGAAAACCUGACCUGUGCAGUCACACAUCCAUUCUGGAACCAGGAGAAAAUGUAUCUACCGACAAACGAGACAGUUGAAGCCACCCAAGACACCCGGCCUUGGCUUCUAGUCAGCAUCUCUGUGGUAACUAUAACGAUCAGCGUCAUCAUGGUAACCCUGGGCGGUUUAUACUUUACACGAAAACACCUCUGCAGAAUAAGAGCCGCCACGCCGUCGGUGUCCAAGGCUCCGCAGCCACAGGACUGUGUGGAGGAAGUGGAGCCCUACGCCAGCUAUGUUCAGCGAGUCAAUUCCAUCUACAACUCCUCUGCAGAGCUUUUCACAUAGCACACGCUCACGCACUCACAUGCACAUCUCACCGUGACGCUGUGAGAAAAUGCCAGUAGAUGAAAGUUAGAAAAGCCACCAUGAGACAGUAAAUGAAACAGAGAGAGAGAGAGAGAGAGAGAGAGAGAGAGAGAGAGAGCGAGAGAGAUCAGGGCCAUCACACAUUAAAUACAACCACCUGGGUUUGAUCAGUCCCGACUGCGGAGGCUGAUGGAACAUGGACAUAACCGACGCAGUCACACCCCCAUCGGCCUUGUUGGCUGAAACCAGCUGAACCCAGGAAAAAUACCCCCUUUAGACAGUUGACAAAAACUUGGCUACAAUACAAAGUGUAAAGACGUUGUUUCUAGAAGGCUGUAGCACAGGAGAACGGACGUCGUCCAGGAACGCAGGCAGUCCGCUCAAGCAAGCCGGUUCUCUCCCCAGUCAGAGGCAACGCGCCCAGUCAGAGGCAACGCGCCCAGUCAGAGGCAACGCGCCCAGUCAGAGGCAACGCGCCCAGUCAGAGGCAACGCGCCCAGUCAGACUCGGUUCUCACGAUAAAAUGGGUACCUGAGUGGGAACCGUUGAGGAUCCGUUUUAUGCACUAGGUCAGCUCCUGGAUAAAAUGUCAAGUCAAACAGCAGUAGUUUCCAUCUCUUCAGUCACUGAAAGAAAUGAUGCCCUCAAAUCUCCCUACACCUCCAGUAAACACAGCCUAAAUCCUCCUGAUGGUCCUGUCAGACCACUAAACGGCUUUUGUUGUGUUAAGCUGGGGUCCCCGUAGAUGCUCUGCCUGAACCACAGGCCUGUGUUUCCAUGAUGGCUUGGACAACUUGUCUCACUACUAUAGCGACACCUAUAAAAUAAUGGCUCACUAGAGCUAAAGCAUGAGAAAAUGACAGAAAACACAGAAAUGUCUAGAAACAAAGAAACACAAGAGCUGGUCUGAGAUGUUGGCAGUUAUUGAUUUUUUGUUGGAAAUUGCUUGAAACUGUGAUUGUUCCGUCACAACUGUAAACCAAAUAGCACAAUGUUCUCACGUGCCUGUGUUUCUUCUGCAAAAAUUACAUUUCAUCAAUAUCUCUGUUGUGUAUGAUAGCUAUGUACUGUAUAAUAGCCAUGAUUAGUGUUGACUUUUUAUUUAUGAUUCAAUUUAAAUUUCAUGGUUGUGUUAUUACUUGAAAUGUUAAACUUUGUGUUCGACAGUUUCAGAUGGGAAAAAGGCUGCAUGCCCUUUGCUUUGAAGAAGAAUUCUCCAGAAGUGAAGCUUAGUAUAUCUGUUUGUAUUGAUAUAAGUCAUACCAUGUGACACUGUCAUGUUAAACUGCAGGGGACCCCUCUGCUGGAGAAGGGUGGUACUCAGUGAAUGGGAACAUUUAUUUCCUUUCUAUGAAAAUGUUUUCUAGGUUUUUGCUUACAAAAAUUAAAGGGAACGGAGGAAUUUAAAAAUGAAUACUGUGAAAACCUUUGAUGGAUUUCUCACUUUCAAAAACGUAGACAUUUCAGAGAGAUCACAGAGUUUGUGUAGGAGACCAGCAGAGGAAGCACUGCUUGAAUAGACACAACGUGAUCUAUAGUGACAAAGCAAAUGAAACAUUUUAGUGUAUGCCAAACAUUUCCAAUCCACACCUACACAUUCCUGCAGGUUACCCACUUGUACGUAUGAGAAACAGGACAGGCACAGUAAUAGGAACACCUACUUGACAAAUGACUUCAGUCUGAGUCACUGUGAGAAACAAAAUUAUACAUGGCAAAGCAAUAAAAGACUGUGAAUCAAAGAGCUUGAUUACACUGAGGAAUUAGUAACUAGUAAUAAGCUGUUACUAAAUUUCACAAAAUGGAAAGGGCAUAUUUGGGGCAAAUCUCCAUCCCCUGUCUAGCAUUGCAUCAUAACAGAGAACACAAGCCACCAGAGGUCUCUUCUAGACAAUACUAGCAAUGACGGCAAAAAAACAGAGCAACAUCUGCUAGCAUAUGGAGGACCAAAAUGAAAUAAUAUAAAAAAUAUUUAAAUGCAUAAUUAUUUUAAGUGGUACAUUGAUAGGAAAUCUUUUUAUAAGGCCCCUUUUUAAAAUAGUGGUAUGAUAUUUCAUAGUAAUACAUUGUCUUUCCUAAUCUUUUUAUUUUCAUCGCAACAGGUAUUUCAUAAAAUCUUUGCCUUUUUCAAAAAAUCGUGAUCUAUUUCAUAAAUUCAUGGUGUGUCUCAUCAUUUAAUGAUGUUUUUUCAUAACUGAAUUACAUAUUCCAACAUUCAAUUACAUAUUUCAACAUUUAAUGGCACAUUUCAACAUUUCAAUGUAUUUCAAAGUGUAUUUAAUGAUCACAAGGGAUAUGUCAAUCAAUGCACGUGGGUGGACUUUAGCUACGGAUAGGCUAAUCCAGCAACACCAGCUUCACCAACAGUUGCUCGUUUGUGGCCUUCAAACAGGAUUUUGCAGCAUUAGCGGUUGUACUGAGUUAUAGCAAUUCAUCAAGUUUGUAUGAAGAAAGUACUAGCAAAAUCCCUAUUAUUAAGUACAUAUGACAGUAUGUGGCAAUAGAAAUGCUAAAACAAACGAAAAUGCAGGUUGUCACUGCCAGUGUCUUUAGGGCUAUUGAGCCCUGGGUCUUUUUGGUGUAGCCCCAUUACGAGAAGCCUAAAGCAAACAAUACAUGCAUCGCCACUUGAAUAGAACAACACGGCGCGUUUUCGCUCCACGUAACGAGUCAAUCUGCAAACCCCGCUGUAAGUCCUACAGUCCGGUUGUGAGAGUGAGAGCGUGGGCUACUCAGCCAUGGCUUAGUGGCUGACUGGCCCUGGCCCGUGUCAGGGCCAGUGGAAACAGAAAAAAAUGGGUUGCUUCUUUUGGCCCCUUUGGAGUUUUUCCUAGCCACAGUGCAUCAACACUGUUGCUACCUUGAGAUUCAAACCUGGUCGCCCACGUGAAAGGCUGAGUCGUUAAACACAACACCACGGAGCUGUGCAUUUGCCAGGUGUCAGUAUAGCCUCUUGUCGCUAUCCUUAACAAAUCCUCUUUUGGCGCUGGCCGUUUUAAUAGUUAAUUGGCCAUUCGUGAAUGACAUUCAUACAGUUAAACUGACUAAUCUUUCUUACUAAGUUUGCCUCCCCCACAAAUAGCGGCUAUGAAUUGUGUUUGCCACUGGCUGUUUUAACAGCGUAAUAGCCAGUAAUAAGCUUUACCGGUAUUUACUAACUUACUGGAAUAGUCAUAAGAAUUUAGCAAUUGCUAGCGAGUCUACCAAAGCUAUUUAAUUUCAUGGCUUAAGAAGUUUUUUUAUAUCAUGGCAAAACAACAUACUUUUUCUUUAAUUCGUGAAUGACAUUUAUACAAUAACUAUCAAUAAAGGCGAGGAUAACUAACUUUUUCAUCAAGUGGAAAGACGAGAGAAUCAUGGAGAAAUAAUCUACCAGAAAUAAUAAAUGUUGUUGCUCUCAAUAGAUUCAAACUUAGAUCUACUACGCCACUACGCCACGGUAUCACACAUUUCAGCAGUCGCUAGACUCCAUUGAGUAUUGUGUUAAACUGACUAAAGUGAAUAAUCACAAGAAUUGAGAAAGUGGUGGUGAGACUGAAGAUGAACUAUUCCAUGCCAGAAAACGUCGCAAUAUAACCGUAUACAGUUUCAGCCAGCAAAGUUUUCGUCAAUACGGAAUAAUUCACAAUGCGUACUUUGCUUCUGCAAGGAAAUACGAACUCGAGACCUAUAGGUCACAAGUCCGCUUCUCUAACCACUAUGCUAUUUAACAAGCGGUAGUCAGUCAGUCAGUCACUCAGUCAGUAAGAGACAUUCACUCUUAAUUAAAAGUAUUUAAUUAUAAUGUGCCACUUAAAAUAAUAUAUUAAUGUAAUUAAUUAAGUGUUUAAUUAUUUAAUUUUGACCCCUUUGGUCAUAUUUGGUUCUCCAUACAAUGACGAGGCAUGACGAGGACUGUGAAGAGGCAGACACUAUUUGAUAUUAUGUAUUUUAUUUGUAUUGUGUAUUUUAUUAUGUUGUUU
Molecule: long non-coding RNA, 5362 nt
Organism: Esox lucius (northern pike)
Lineage: Eukaryota; Metazoa; Chordata; Actinopteri; Esociformes; Esocidae
Source: Ensembl